RNAcentral lists this ribosomal RNA (505 nucleotides) under uncultured bacterium. RNAcentral describes it as "partial 16S ribosomal RNA". It matches the Rfam family "Bacterial small subunit ribosomal RNA", at positions 28 to 507 of the family's 1533-position model. The record is from RNAcentral.
GACGAACGCUGGCGGCGUGCCUAAUACAUGCAAGUAGAACGCACAGUUUAUACCGUAGCUUGCUACACCAUAGACUGUGAGUUGCGAACGGGUGAGUAACGCGUAGGUAACCUGCCUGGUAGCGGGGGGUAACUAUUGGAAACGAUACCUAAUACCGCAUAAUAUUAAUUAUUGCAUGAUAAUUAAUUGAAAGGUUCAAUUGCACCACUACCAGAUGGACCUGCGUUGUAUUAGCUAGUAGGUGAGGUAACGGCUCACCCAAGCGAAGAUACAUAGCCGACCCGGAGGGGUGGACGGGCACACUUGGAACGGGGACCGGGCCCAGACUCCUCGGGAAGGCGCCGGAAGGGAACCUCGGCAAUGGAGGGAAGUCCGAACGAAGAAAGGCGCGGGAGUGAAGAAGGUUCUCGGAUCGUAAAGCUCUGUUGUAAGGGGAGAACGGGUGUGAGAGUGGAAAGUGCACGCUGUGACGGUAUCUUACCAGAAAGGCACGGCUAACUACGUG